Long non-coding RNA from Camelus dromedarius (Arabian camel), 594 nucleotides. RefSeq lists it as uncharacterized. NCBI's taxonomy places the organism in Eukaryota, Metazoa, Chordata, Mammalia, Artiodactyla, Camelidae. The transcript has 2 exons. The record is from RefSeq and is a predicted model, not a curated record.
ACAGGCAUACCUUGUUUUUAUAUUUUGCAGAUACUGCAGUGUUUUUGUUUUAUCUUACAAAUUGAAGGUUUGUGGCAACCCAGCACUGAUGGUGGAACCCAACCCAUGUAUCUCCACUGUUUGCCUGUAGAGAAAUUCAGUGAGCUGAGAGCUGAGGGAGAAAUCAGAACAGCCCUCCAUUUGUGUCAUCUGCGAUUACAACUAGUAAAUUUAAGCAAAAGAACCAUGAGCUCUCAAUUUGAAUCUUCCCCACAUUCAGUCUCGACACGAAGUAGUCAAUAAAUACUUGUUUAUUGAUUAAACUGAAUUAUAAAAAACAAAACAAAACAAAAAAACUUCCUUCUACUACUAAGCCAUGCGGGCGGAAUCCACAAAGGUAACUUCCUGGUCAAAACCUGGCUGAUCCACUGUUGGUUUUACGGUCUUAAAAAAAUUACCCAACAAUAAAGUCAUACAGUGUGCAGAGGGCAGGAACCCCGCUCUGCUGAGGCUGGGGCUGCUGCAGACUACCAGAGAUGUAGAUAGAGUUGACCAUAGUUCUUGAACUGUCUGAAAGGCAAAGUUUUGACUUGAAAGUCCAUAUUCUGUCAAAAU